Molecule: long non-coding RNA, 1230 nt
Filed under: Ursus maritimus (polar bear)
Lineage: Eukaryota; Metazoa; Chordata; Mammalia; Carnivora; Ursidae
Description: lncRNA (ENSUMAG00000004761.1)
Source: RNAcentral
CGAGAAUUGGCUCGGAAGUUUAUAGGUGAAAACCAGAGCGUCUCAACGGUGGCAUUUUGGUAUUUUGAGCUGGGUAAUUCUUUGUCGGGCAGGGCCUGUCUGUGCAGAGGAUGACCAGCAGCCGUCUUAGCGUCUGCACACCAGACGCCGGUGGCCACCGUCCCCCCGGCCGUCCCCUGGGAGCACAAAGCCACCCCAGCGGAGAACCACUGGUCUAAAUGAUCUUCCCAGCUGUGCGGCAUCUAAAAGAUAAUCCUUAACUCUCGCCAACUAGGUGUUUCCUAAGACCCCGCACACGGCACGUGGACACCCGUAACGCGCACCUGCUGUGUGUGUCACGCUACUGCUCGCUGAAUGUCUUCUGUUUGUCCCUCCUGAGAUCUGCCUUCUCCCCGUUGGGAAGUGGGAGAGGGAUAGUGAGUGUGUUGGGGGUUGGGGGGCGACCUGUGUCGCCACCGGUGACCAAUCGCACCCCAAAUCCCGAGCCUUUCUGGGUUGCCCGCGUGUGGCCGCUCCGUCCUCCCGACCCUCCUCUGAGUCUCUGCCCACUUAGCUCCCACCUUCCGUCUCCUGUUCUGUGAUUUUCAAGAUCCGAUGUCUCUAGUUCUGCUCAAGGUACAGUUUGGGGUUAUUUUCUUUUUAUUAUGUUGGGCAAGUUUCUGAAAAGAAAAGGCAGAAACGUGUUUGUUCUGCCGGAGGAAGGCUGGCAGGGUCUGCUCCGCUGUCACGAUGACGUCAGAGGAGCGCACGGGGUCAGGAGGCACGACCACGGCCCUGCGCACCUGGCCCCGGCUCAGCUCCUGCGUGUGCGCUCCCACACGAAUUUCUUCUGAUCUCUGGAAAUCUGGUUUUAACUCAUUACGCUUAAUCUCUGUUUGCUUGUUCAGAAGGUGCCUUUCUGAAUGGAAAUCAUUUCUGGAAACCCUUAAGCCUGUGCCUGCUCUUUCUGAACUCCACUUGUUCCAGUCACAGAGUCACCAGGACAGAGCUGACCGUGUCUGGGAGAAGGGGGGCAGAGGCUGUGGACGUGUUCUUCACCGUUUCCCAUGGCGAGCCAAGCCCCGACACCCGGCGUGGAGCAGGGCCGCGCAGCACUGGCACCGGCCGGGACUCGUGGUGGGCAGGGACUCAGAGAGGGACGCCCCGACCAGACCCUGGCUGUCUCCAGGACCUGGGAGCUUACCUGCAUGGGGACGCACCUGGCGUCCUGUGGCCCAGCCCGGCCGUUAA